This 240-nucleotide unclassified non-coding RNA is filed under the name soil metagenome. Its description in RNAcentral is "partial contains 5.8S ribosomal RNA, internal transcribed spacer 2, and large subunit ribosomal RNA". The record is from RNAcentral.
AACCAUAGAAACCUGCGGAGUACCUGCGGAGGGAUCAUCGGUGAAAUUUUAUUAAUUAUAAAUAAUGAUUUUUUGAUGGGAUUUUUUAUAAAAAAAUUUUAUCAUUUUAUCAUUUUUUAUAAUAACAACCACCAAUUUGUGAACCUUUUAAGUUUUUACUUGGGGGAUGUUGGCCUUUUUUUCCUUUAUAUAAUUUAUAAAAGAAAAAAAGAGAAAAACAAACAGAACCCAAUAAAAAAA